AUCGAGGAGGUAGAGCCACACGCUUACCUUAGGGAAACACCUUGCACGUUAUAACUGGACAGGUAAAUGUUUGGUGAAAGAGGAUAAAGGAAAUAGAGCCGGUGGCGUGCGAGGAUAUUCAGGAAAACGUCCGGGGCACUGAACUCCCACCACCACUUAGGGAGGCUUUUCCUGUGGAGCCUCGCCCUCCGGUCGGAAGUCGCCUCAACCUGCCUGCCCGGAAGCCGUCGCCUUAGCAACACAGCGUUGUCCCGUCCUCUUCCCUUAGCCACGCCCAUUGUACUUAGAAUUCUAGAGCCAGCCAGACAUCGAUUGGUUCACUUAUCCUUCACUCCGCGAGACAGGCGAGACUGCAGGGCUCUGGAGCGCGUUUUUGAAUUUGUAGCGCGUAUAGAGUCCGUGAGGUACCUUGUGGAGUUCGUGCUGUGGCUGGAGCCAGCUACUCAGGGUGAACUCUGAAGUCCUGAGCUAUGGCAGAACUCAAGCCCCUCAAGUCACAUAGAAAUCUACCCAUCAAACACUGGAUUGCCAUAGAGAUCGUACCCCAUAUCCUGGAGAAAGGACUGCUGCACAGAGAAGCCAAAAAGAACAGACAGCCUCAGUGGAUUAGCAACCAUGUCUAUGCAGCGGUGUCUCCACAAAAACCCUAAAAGCGCCUGCCCCUGGCUCAGCGCCCGGUGCCAACAGAACACCUUUCAGGAUUCACAGCAGCGCAGACAACGACCAGCUCUCUUCCAUCAUGUCCUUCUACCAUGUCGUUUCUGAAUUGAAGCAAGCCAAUCAUGGAGUGAACCCACUGAAGCAGGAGCCUGUUCUCUGAUGAAGUUGC
RNAcentral lists this long non-coding RNA (829 nucleotides) under Heterocephalus glaber (naked mole-rat). Its description in RNAcentral is "lncRNA (ENSHGLG00100046484.1)". The record is from RNAcentral. Lineage: Eukaryota; Metazoa; Chordata; Mammalia; Rodentia; Bathyergidae.